RNAcentral lists this small nuclear RNA (277 nucleotides) under Carlito syrichta (Philippine tarsier). Its description in RNAcentral is "7SK RNA (ENSTSYG00000023162.2)". It matches the Rfam family "7SK RNA". Rfam says of the family: 7SK was discovered as an abundant small nuclear RNA in the mid-70s but a possible function has only recently been suggested. Lineage: Eukaryota; Metazoa; Chordata; Mammalia; Primates; Tarsiidae. The record is from Rfam by way of RNAcentral.
GAAUGUAAGGCUGAUCUGGCUGUGACAUCUGUCACCCCAUUGAUUGCCAGGUUUGAUUUGUUUAAUAAGGCUGGCUAGGUGGGUGCCCUCUUCCUCCUUCACGACUUCUUUCCUAAUAGAAGAAGAGUGUUGUUAGACCAAGGUUACAGAAUUAGCUGCAGUCCUCUGGUACAAACUCCAAACAAGCUCUCACAGUUCAUUUGUAGAAGAACAUCAAGUUCCAAGACAAAAGAUACAUCCAAAUAAAAAAGCUACAUAUAGCAGUCUGCCUUUCUUU